CCCAAUCCUGACACAGGGAGGUAGUGACAAUAAAUAACAAUGCUCUGGCUCUUCGAGUCGGGCAAUUGGAAUGAGAACAAUUUAAAUCCCUUAUCGAGGAUCAAUUGGAGGGCAAGUCUGGUGCCAGCAGCCGCGGUAAUUCCAGCUCCAAUAGCGUAUAUUAAAGUUGUUGCAGUUAAAAAGCUCGUAGUUGGAUUUCUGCUUUGAGCGUCCGGUCCGCUCCUUUGGAGUGUGUUACUAGGAUGGUUGAGGCAUUUUUUGUGAGGACGCCCUUCUGCCAUUCAGUUGGUGGUUGGAUGGACUUGCAUCGUUUACUGUGAAAAAAUUAGAGUGUUUAAAGCAGGCGUUUGCUCAUUGAAUACAUUAGCAUGGAAUAAUAAGAUACGACCUUGGUGGUCUAUUUUGUUGGUUUGCACACCAGGGUAAUGAUUAAUAGGGACAGUUGGGGGUAUUCAUAUUGCAGCGUCAGAGGUGAAAUUCUUGGAUCGCUGCAAGAUGAGCUUAGGCGAAAGCAUUUACCAAGGAUGUUUUCAUUAAUCAAGAACGAAAGUUAAGGGAUCGAAGAUGAUUAGAUACCAUCGUAGUCUUAACCAUAAACUAUGCCGACUCGGGAUUGGCAGUCGUUUUUUUAAUGACCUUGUCAGCACCGUAUGAGAAAUCA
Molecule: ribosomal RNA, 661 nt
Filed under: uncultured eukaryote
Lineage: Eukaryota
Description: SSU rRNA
Rfam family: Eukaryotic small subunit ribosomal RNA
Source: RNAcentral